This 437-nucleotide unclassified non-coding RNA is filed under the name Hevea brasiliensis (rubber tree). Lineage: Eukaryota; Viridiplantae; Streptophyta; Magnoliopsida; Malpighiales; Euphorbiaceae. The record is from RNAcentral.
GCAAGAGAUCAUAACAAAUUGAUAUCAGAUUCGGUUGUCAUGGACGACACAGAUCCAAAAGAAGAAUUGAGGGCGCUAUUCCAAGAAGUACAUGCAUUAACUAAAGCAAGAGUAGCGCAAGCUGAAUCAAGGAUGGAAGAUCGGAUCAAGCAACUAUGAAGGCAGCAACAAUAGAAUUGAUGGAAAAAUAGAGCGAGACUCAAGGCAGGGGUAGUACCAAGGUAUACAAAGUUGGAUUUUCCAAUGUUUGAUGGAUUCGAAGAUCCGUUGAUUUGGUUACACUGAUGUAAACAAUUUUUUUCAAACUAACGAACGUCAGAAACAAAUAAGGUGAACCUCGUAGUAUUCCAUAUGACAAGGAGGCACAACUCUGGUUCUAUAGAUUAGAACAAGAAUCCCGACUAUCACGGAAUGCAUUCAAAGAAUAUUGCAAUUUA